GUCCCACAUGGUCGCUUGACAACGUUGCGGCGGUGCUGUGCGAUUGGAGACGGAAGAGGGAAAAAAUGGAGGCAAACAACCGCGACAAGGAGACGGGGAGCGCCGCCGGUGCUGAUUUCCCGUGGAUCCUGUUUUCGCGUGAGCGUCCCUAACUCGUGCGAUUCAUCUGUGGGUGGUUUCAGUGUCCUAUGUGUUCCCUGCUGAACUUGCAAGCGUUUCAAGCGAACCUGUGCGUGCAGGUUUCCCAUCUUCCCCGUUGUGGUUCUUCCCGCGGGGUCAGAUGCAAACGAGAGAAGCGAGGUGGGUAGCCAAGGGGUGGGGGGCUUGCCGAGGAGAGUCUGCCGUUAAGCCUGAUCCGUGACCUCCUGGGCGGAUUGAGAGGGUGCAAGUUGGUACAAAUCCUGAAGAGCGGAUGCCAGGAUGAGGGCUCUAGACUUGUCCAUUAGAGGUUUCGCAGACAGAGAUUGAGAUCAGGUGAUCAAGCCAGAAUUGGGCACCACAUUUGACUUGCUGAUGGAGGCAUGCACCUUCUACAACCUGUUUUCUUGGGAGGUUGGAUUUGGUAUCAGAUAUGGAAAGAGUCGGCUAAAGCCGGACAAGAGGAAGACAAUGCAAGAAAUCGUGAGUGGCUGCUCGUACAUGAGGCUACAAUUCGACACGCAAGCUGAGGAGGGCUACAAAGAGAAACCGACCGAAAUUGUAAGUGUUUGUCACAUUCAGUGCAGGGUGAGGCACACGCAGGCGGGCAGUAGGGAGAGUGCAGCAUGGUUGUAUUCCUAAUGAAAAUGAUUGACGGCGGAGCACAUUUCGAAAGCGAAUGUGGCAUAUGCUCUGUUGUCAUAUUCUGAAGGUCAUGGAUAAUAUUAGCAUGACAGAAGUAGCAGAGAGCCACAUAGUGAAAAGGUGGUCGAAAGAUGCAAGAGAUAUUUUGCCGGAUCACUUGAAGCACUACUAGCGGGACCAGAUCAAUAGCACGUUCCUAACUUAUACUUGCGAGCGGAAAGCAGGGGGAGAUAUCCCGCAAAAAAAAGGAAAGCAGGGGGAGAUGUAGUGAGCUGAAAGCUGGUACUGUCAAGUGUCAAGUGCAAAUUAAGUGUUUAGUUAGAAACCGAUGUGUGGUUGUGUUUCAACUUGUGCUGAUGGUGUUUUUUUUUUCAAUUCUGCUGUAAGGAAACUGACAUGUCAAACUGGUAGCUCUUUGAUGUUGCAAUGCUCAUGACUCAUGAGGUAGUAACUGCUCGUUCUUGUAGGCUGGUGUUGUGUGUGCAGCAUGAAUGGUUAGAGCGGCUUGUAGCCUAUGAAUUCAAAAUUUGAAUG
This is a long non-coding RNA of Triticum aestivum (bread wheat), 1317 nucleotides long. RefSeq lists it as uncharacterized. NCBI's taxonomy places the organism in Eukaryota, Viridiplantae, Streptophyta, Magnoliopsida, Poales, Poaceae. The transcript is spliced from 4 exons. The record is from RefSeq and is a predicted model, not a curated record.